This 86-nucleotide microRNA precursor is filed under the name Nicotiana attenuata. RNAcentral's name for it is "pre miRNA mir-598". The record is from RNAcentral. Lineage: Eukaryota; Viridiplantae; Streptophyta; Magnoliopsida; Solanales; Solanaceae.
GGUUAACGUUAACGUUAACGUUAACGUUAACGUUAACGUUAACGUUAACGUUAACGUUAACGUUAACGUUAACGUUAACGGUUAAC